GAAAAGGCUGGAAAACACCAAAAGAACCCCGUUUUGAGCGCUUUGACUUUCAAAGUCUGAAUCUGGGUGAAUAUUACCCAAAAAUCCUUCAAAACCCGAAAGAAACUCCAAAAACUUUCGGUUUUUUCUUUUGGGUUUCAAAAGCCCUAAAAACCACCAAAUUCUCCAUCCACAGUGGCGGAGUACAAAUGUUCGGCGACGGUGGCAGAGGAGUGGUUGAUGGUAGCAAAGGCUAGGAGCAGUGGCAACAUUAGGCUAGGGUGCGGCUAGGGGUUUUUUUUCUGUUUAGGUUUUGGGCCUAUUGGGCUGCUAGGUUUUUAUUAUUAUUUGGGCCUACUUUUUUUGUAAUUGAGCUACCCUUGUAAUUUGGACUUGGACGGUUGUUUAUUAUUUUUUAUUUUUAUUUUGGUUUUAUUUAUUAUUUAUUUUUUUUGUAUUUGGGUUUCUGUUUGGGUCUGGACGAAAUUGGCCCAUUACAGUCGAUGAAGUGCAUUACCAUAAAUUCUUUAAUUAACAUAUCAUAUUGCUUUCUCA
Gossypium raimondii (Peruvian cotton) is the source of this 534-nucleotide long non-coding RNA. RefSeq lists it as uncharacterized. The transcript has 2 exons. NCBI's taxonomy places the organism in Eukaryota, Viridiplantae, Streptophyta, Magnoliopsida, Malvales, Malvaceae. The record is from RefSeq and is a predicted model, not a curated record.